This 84-nucleotide transfer RNA is filed under the name Candidatus Magasanikiibacteriota bacterium. RNAcentral describes it as "tRNA-Leu". It matches the Rfam family "tRNA". From Rfam's summary of the family: Transfer RNA (tRNA) molecules are approximately 80 nucleotides in length. Their secondary structure includes four short double-helical elements and three loops (D, anti-codon, and T loops). Further hydrogen bonds mediate the characteristic L-shaped molecular structure. tRNAs have two regions of fundamental functional importance: the anti-codon, which is responsible for specific mRNA codon recognition, and the 3' end, to which the tRNAs corresponding amino acid is attached (by aminoacyl-tRNA synthetases). tRNAs cope with the degeneracy of the genetic code in two manners: having more than one tRNA (with a specific anti-codon) for a particular amino acid; and 'wobble' base-pairing, i.e. permitting non-standard base-pairing at the 3rd anti-codon position. The record is from RNAcentral. Lineage: Bacteria; Candidatus Magasanikiibacteriota.
GCUGGAGUGGUGGAACUGGUAGACACGCAGGCUUGAGGGGCCUGUGGCCGCAAGGUCGUGGAGGUUCAAGUCCUCUCUCCAGCA